AGCAGAACCCGCGGCCGGCUGAGUCCUCUCCAGCCGCGAGAGGCGGGCUCCAGCCGCGGCUCGCGCGCUCGCUCUGAGCCCCCGCGCCCAGGUGGGAUGGAAGAAGCCUGUCAGGUUGUCUGUGUUUUCCCCUGUGAAAGCAUUCAGGAUCUUAAUUUUAUGCUGUGGAUUCUGAACUUAAUAAUUUGGGUGCAGACAACUAAGCGAGGGGAUCCUCAUGAGUUAAGAAACAUAUUUCUACAGUAUGCCAGUACUGAGGUUGAUGGAGAGCAUUACAUGACCCCAGAAGACUUUGUUCAGCGCUAUCUUGGACUGUAUAAUGAUCCAAAUAGUAACCCAAAGAUCGUGCAGCUCUUGGCAGGAGUAGCUGAUCAAACCAAGGAUGGGUUGAUCUCCUAUCAAGAGUUUUUGGCAUUUGAAUCUGUUUUAUGUGCUCCAGAUUCCAUGUUCAUAGUGGCUUUCCAGUUGUUUGACAAGAGUGGAAAUGGAGAGGUGACAUUUGGUAAGGGAAAAAGAAGAUUAUAAAUGAUAAGUU
Molecule: small RNA, 535 nt
Filed under: Pongo abelii (Sumatran orangutan)
Lineage: Eukaryota; Metazoa; Chordata; Mammalia; Primates; Hominidae
Description: processed transcript
Source: RNAcentral